AUACUUCUAUUAGUUCAUAAGUGUGGUUAUUGUGUGCCUACUCCAUUGCAUAACAUGUGUCUCCCACAAACCUUGUUAUGUUGUAAGCACAUUAUCCUCUGAUG
Molecule: small nucleolar RNA, 104 nt
Organism: Jaculus jaculus (lesser Egyptian jerboa)
Lineage: Eukaryota; Metazoa; Chordata; Mammalia; Rodentia; Dipodidae
Product: small nucleolar RNA U13
Exons: 1
Source: RefSeq, a predicted model, not a curated record